CCUACGUGAGGCUGCAGUGGGGGAUAUUGCACAAUGGGGGAAACCCUGACGCAGCGACGCCGCGUGAGUGAAGAAGUAUUUCGGUAUGUAAAGCUCUAUCAGCAGGGAAGAAAAAAGACGGUACCUGACUAAGAAGCCCCGGCUAACUACGUGCCAGCAGCCGCGGUAAUACGUAGGGGGCAAGCGUUAUCCGGAUUUACUGGGUGUAAAGGGAGCGUAGACGGCAAUGCAAAUCGGAAGUGAAAUACCCGUGGUCAACCUGGGAACUGCUUUGGAAACUGUAUGGCUAGAGUGCUGGAGAGGUGAGCGGAAUUCCUAGUGUAGCGGUGAAAUGCGUAGAUAUUAGGAGGAACACCAGUGGCGAAGGCGGCUUACUGGACAGUAACUGACGUUGAGGCUCGAAAGCGUGGGGAGCAAACAGGAUUAGAUACCCGAGUAGUC
RNAcentral lists this ribosomal RNA (441 nucleotides) under uncultured bacterium. RNAcentral's name for it is "partial 16S ribosomal RNA". It matches the Rfam family "Bacterial small subunit ribosomal RNA", at positions 338 to 795 of the family's 1533-position model. The record is from RNAcentral.